AUUGAACGCUGGCGGCAGGCCUAACACAUGCAAGUCGAGCGGAUGAAGGGAGCUUGCUCCCGGAUUCAGCGGCGGACGGGUGAGUAAUGCCUAGGAAUCUGCCUGGUAGUGGGGGAUAACGUCCGGAAACGGGCGCUAAUACCGCAUACGUCCUGAGGGAGAAAGUGGGGGAUCUUCGGACCUCACGCUAUCAGAUGAGCCUAGGUCGGAUUAGCUAGUUGGUGGGGUAAAGGCCUACCAAGGCGACGAUCCGUAACUGGUCUGAGAGGAUGAUCAGUCACACUGGAACUGAGACACGGUCCAGACUCCUACGGGAGGCAGCAGUGGGGAAUAUUGGACAAUGGGCGAAAGCCUGAUCCAGCCAUGCCGCGUGUGUGAAGAAGGUCUUCGGAUUGUAAAGCACUUUAAGUUGGGAGGAAGGGCAGUAAGUUAAUACCUUGCUGCUUUGACGUUACCAACAGAAUAAGCACCGGCUAACUUCGUG
RNAcentral lists this ribosomal RNA (484 nucleotides) under uncultured bacterium. RNAcentral's name for it is "partial 16S ribosomal RNA". It matches the Rfam family "Bacterial small subunit ribosomal RNA", at positions 30 to 507 of the family's 1533-position model. The record is from RNAcentral.